This is a long non-coding RNA of Megalops cyprinoides (Indo-Pacific tarpon), 1596 nucleotides long. RefSeq lists it as uncharacterized. Lineage: Eukaryota; Metazoa; Chordata; Actinopteri; Elopiformes; Megalopidae. The record is from RefSeq and is a predicted model, not a curated record. The transcript is spliced from 3 exons.
AGGAGGCAGGACAUGACGCAAAAAGUACGCUGCAAAAAUCGCAGUGUUUUGUUUAAAGCACAGCAACGACAGCGUACGAGGCUACCGACUCAUCCGUAAUGAUGACUGUUUUUGCGUUUAUAUUAAUGCUACGUGUAUUUGCAUGAAUCCGCAAUAUCAACAAAAGAGUGGAAAGCAAUACAGGCAGGCAGGGAAGAGUACGAAGCAGCUACACUCCGUGCACGCAGAUCCCACCGGAGAAAGAAAGCUGCAUUGUUUUGGAUCUGUGUCCAGCAGCAGCGUGAGAAGGCCAUAUGGAAGCGCGAGAGACCGAGCAGGGAAAUAUUCUGGGCAGAUGUUUUGCGGAACUUUGACGAUGUGCAGUGGAGACAUCAUUUUCGCAUGUCCCGGCGUACAUUCAAGUAUGUGUUACGUCUGGUGAAACCCGCCCUAACAUGACAGAUUACACGAUGGCGAAAACUACUUGAACCGCAUCGGAGACUGGCCAUUGUACUUUGGUGGUAUGCCACACCGAGCAAGUUUAGAACAAUAAGCUGUCUCUUCGGUGUAGGACUGUCCACUGUAUGUAGCCUAGUCUGCAAAGUUACAUCUGCUCUAAAGAACAACCUGCUCAAGCGUUUCAUUUGCCUGCCGAAAGGGGAGCGACUUCAGAAGACCCUAGAUGGAUUUGCAGAGCGAGGUUAUCCUGUGUGCAGGAGCCAUCGACAGAAGCCACAUUCCCGUUAUUGCUCCGAGGGAUGAUCCAGCUUCUUAUUCUUCUUAUCGGAAAGGAUGGUAUUUCAUUGUACUGGAAGGGGUUGUCGCACACAAUUUCUGCUUCACAGAUAUAUACGAUACGUGGGGGGGCCUGGUCGAACACAUAAUGCAAGAGUGCUUUGCAACUCUCCUAUCUUUAAGAUAGCUGAAGAGCAAGAUGGUUACUUGUUUCCCCGUGAGAAAUCCAUGACUGUGGACAGUGUGGAGGUGCCCAUCCAUCUCAUUUGAGACGCAGCUUACCCUCUGAAGAAGUGGCUAAUGAAAGGGUUCACCCAUCACCAUCACCUGACUCCCAAACAGAACACCUUCAACUACCGUUUAAGCUCUGCUCGAAUGGUGGUUGAAAAUGCAUUUGGACGUUUGAAGGGCCGUUGGAGGUGCCUUGCCAAGCGCAAUGAUGUGGAUAUCUCCAUAAUGCCUGACAUUGUUACUGCCUGAAUGGAACAUUGAUGCUGCUACUGACCUCCCACAAGAGCCUGACACAGAGGUCUUUCAUGCACCUCAGACAGCUAGCGCACAACAGAUACGAGAGGCUAUGAUGAGCAUUCUUUAAAAAAAAAAAAAGCUGAUUUUUAGAUAAAGUUCCUUCAACUUGCACUAUUUGCUGUUGUUGACUCUUUUCUAUUGAAUGGUGUCCUAGCUCAGUGUCUCUCAAUCCUUGUUCAUUUGAAUCAAGUGUGUUGGAGCAGGGAAACAUGCAGGGCAGGGGGUCCCCAGGACCAGGGUUGAGAAACACUAUAGCUUACAUGUGUCAUUUUGCAAUAUAUGUAUGUACACACAUGACUCAUACACACCAACUACUGAUUAGUCACAAUAACAGUAUUUAUUUUUGCUCUAAAU